This 510-nucleotide ribosomal RNA is filed under the name Megasoma thersites. RNAcentral describes it as "partial 16S ribosomal RNA". It matches the Rfam family "Bacterial large subunit ribosomal RNA", at positions 1819 to 2600 of the family's 2925-position model. Lineage: Eukaryota; Metazoa; Arthropoda; Insecta; Coleoptera; Scarabaeidae. The record is from RNAcentral.
GUCUUUUUGAGUAUAAUUUAAAGUCUGACCUGCCCAAUGAGGAUUUAAAUGGCCGCGGUAAUUUGACCGUGCAAAGGUAGCAUAAUCAUUAGUUUUUUAAUUGAAAGCUGGUAUGAACGGUUGGACGAGAAGAUGACUGUCUCGAUUUAAUUGCUAAUAGAAUUUUAUUUAUAAGUAAAAAAGCUUAUAUGAAUUUAAAAGACGAGAAGACCCUAUAGAAUUUUAUAGUUAUGUGCUUAUUUGGUGAUUGGAAUAGAAAACUGAUUAGGUGUAGGCUAUUUUGUUGGGGCGAUGGAAAAAUUGAUUUAACUUUUUUUUUGUGGAGUCAUUGAUUUAUGUAUAAGUGAUCCGUUUCUAGCGAUUAUAAGAAAAAAUUACCUUAGGGAUAACAGCGUGAUUUUUUUUAGAGUUCUUAUCGAAAAAAAAGUUUGCGACCUCGAUGUUGGAUUAAAAUUAACUUUUGGUGUAGGGGCUAGAAGGUUAGGUCUGUUCGACCUUUAAAAUUUUACA